GUGAAAUCCCCGAGCUUAACUUGGGAAUUGCAUUGGAGACUGCACGGCUAGAGUGUGGCAGAGGGGGGUAGAAUUCCACGUGUAGCGGUGAAAUGCGUAGAGAUGUGGAGGAAUACCGAUGGCGAAGGCGGCCCCCUGGAAUAANAUUGACGCUCAUGUGCGAAAGCGUGGGGAGCAAACAGGAUUAGAUACCCUGGUAGUCCACGCCGUAAACGAUGUCNGCUAGUUGUUGGGGAUUCAUUUCCUUGNUAACNNNNNUANCGCGUGAAGUUGACCCGCUGGGGGAGUACGGCCGNAGAGUAANNACUCANNGAAUUGACGGGGACCCGCACCAGCGGGGGAAGAUGGUGAUUAAUUUCAUGCCACCCGAAAAAACCUUACUACCUUUGACCNUCCACUAACCUANCAAAAGUGAAUUAGGUGCUCNAAAGANNUNUGNACACAGUGUGC
RNAcentral lists this ribosomal RNA (450 nucleotides) under bacterium symbiont of Megymenum gracilicorne. RNAcentral describes it as "partial 16S ribosomal RNA". It matches the Rfam family "Bacterial small subunit ribosomal RNA", at positions 594 to 1043 of the family's 1533-position model. The record is from RNAcentral.